AUUGAACGCUGGCGGCAGGCCUAACACAUGCAAGUCGAACGAGUGGCGGACGGGUGAGUAAUGUCUGGGAAACUGCCCGAUGGAGGGGGAUAACUACUGGAAACGGUAGCUAAUACCGCAUACCAUCGGAUGUGCCCAGAUGGGAUUAGCUAGGAGGUGGGGUAACGGCGCACCUAGGCGACGCUCCCUAGCUGGUAUGAGAGGAUGACAAGCCACACGGGAACUGAGACACGGGCCAGACUCGUCCGGGAGGCAGCAGGGGGAAAUAUUGAACACUGGGGGCAAGCCUGAUGCAGCCAUGCCGCGUGUAUGAGGAAGGCCUUCGGGUUGUAAAGUACUUUCAGCGAGGAGGCGUUACUCGCAGAAGAAGCACCGGCUAACUCCGUGCCAGCAGCCGCGGUAAUAC
This 406-nucleotide ribosomal RNA is filed under the name uncultured bacterium. RNAcentral describes it as "partial 16S ribosomal RNA". It matches the Rfam family "Bacterial small subunit ribosomal RNA", at positions 29 to 526 of the family's 1533-position model. The record is from RNAcentral.